AAUUAUUUGCUUUUAAUUUGUAUUUAUUGAGGUUAUAAGCCUUAGAUGGCUAUUGGAAAACAUAAAUUUUGGACUCAAGAUUCAUGAGAGGUAACUCUAAUUGGUUAAGAUAUCAAGUGUCAACAUCAAUGUUAUUAUUUCACCAAAUAAAAUUAAGGGAGCUUUAGUUUUAACAGUCCUGAUCUCUUGGACUACAAGGGUUCAAGAAAUUUGUGGUCACUCACCGUUGGAUGUAAAUUCA
RNAcentral lists this long non-coding RNA (241 nucleotides) under Prunus persica (peach). RNAcentral describes it as "long non-coding RNA (PPER_LNC008254)". The record is from RNAcentral. Lineage: Eukaryota; Viridiplantae; Streptophyta; Magnoliopsida; Rosales; Rosaceae.